GACGAACGCUGGCGGCGUGCUUAACACAUGCAAGUCGAACGAGAGCGUAGAGAAAGCUUGCUUUUUCUACAAUCUAGUGGCAAACGGGUGAGUAACGCGUAAACAACCUGCCCUACGGAUGGGGACAACAGCUGGAAACGGCUGCUAAUACCGAAUACGUUCCGAAAGUCGCAUGACUAUCGGAAGAAAGGAUGGCCUCUAUUUAUAAGCUAUCGCCGGAGGAGGGGUUUGCGUCUGAUUAGCUAGUUGGAGGGGUAACGGCGCACCAAGGCGACGAUCAGUAGCCGGAAUGAGAGGAUGAGCGGCCACAAUGGAACUGAGACACGGUACAGAGUCAUACGGAAGGCGGCAGUGGGGAAGCGUCAGCCAGGGGCGAAAGACUGACGGAGAAACGCCGAGUGAGGGAGGACGGCCUUCGGGUGGUAAAGCUCUGUUAUACGGGACGAAUAAUCUUGUGGUUAAUACCCAUGAGAAGUGACGGUACCGGAAGAGAAAGCCACGGCUAACUACGUG
RNAcentral lists this ribosomal RNA (513 nucleotides) under uncultured bacterium. Its description in RNAcentral is "partial 16S ribosomal RNA". It matches the Rfam family "Bacterial small subunit ribosomal RNA", at positions 28 to 507 of the family's 1533-position model. The record is from RNAcentral.